CUUGGUCAUUUAGAGGAAGUAAAAGUUGUAACAAGGUUUCUGUAGGUGAACCUGCAGAAGGAUCAUUAGUGAAGAUUUGGGCAGGCCAUACGGACGCCAAAAAGUGUCCCUGGCCGCCUACACCCACUAUACAUCCACAAACCCGUGUGCACUGUCUUGGAGAAAGGCUUCAGAGAAGUUUUUUGUGGCCUCUCUUGGGGUCUUUCUUCGCUACAAACUCGAAUGGUUAGUAUGAACGUGGAACUUGGUUGGACCGUCACUGGCCAACAAACUAUACACAACUUUCGACAACGGAUCUCUUGGUUCUCGCAUCGAUGAAGAACGCAGC
RNAcentral lists this ribosomal RNA (328 nucleotides) under uncultured fungus. RNAcentral's name for it is "partial 5.8S ribosomal RNA". The stretch from base 1 to 68 matches the Rfam family "Eukaryotic small subunit ribosomal RNA", at positions 1764 to 1831 of the family's 1831-position model. The record is from RNAcentral. Lineage: Eukaryota; Fungi.